RNAcentral lists this transfer RNA (74 nucleotides) under Bacteroidales bacterium. RNAcentral's name for it is "tRNA-His". It matches the Rfam family "tRNA". From Rfam's summary of the family: Transfer RNA (tRNA) molecules are approximately 80 nucleotides in length. The record is from RNAcentral. Lineage: Bacteria; Pseudomonadati; Bacteroidota; Bacteroidia; Bacteroidales.
GUAUGCGUAGCUCAGCUGGCUAGAGUAGUGGUUUGUGGUGCCAUUGGUCGUGGGUUCGAAUCCCAUCGCGUACC